AGCCCAUUAGCCUUUUAGUUAGUUGGCCCAUUCCGGAUUUAUUGAAAUAUUUGCAGUCUUGACCCCAAGCUUUAUCGUUAUCACAUCCAAGUCCAUUUAUUGAAACUUUUGCGCUAUUGCCCUUAAGUUCGUCUGUUAUAACUUUAUUAGUCUUGGGCUUUUUACCUGCACAAUAUUCUUAAACAUGUAAUUGCAUAUAUGUCCUGUAAAUAUAAUCAGAC
This 221-nucleotide long non-coding RNA is filed under the name Zostera marina. Its description in RNAcentral is "long non-coding RNA (ZMAR_LNC005736)". Lineage: Eukaryota; Viridiplantae; Streptophyta; Magnoliopsida; Alismatales; Zosteraceae. The record is from RNAcentral.